RNAcentral lists this ribosomal RNA (402 nucleotides) under uncultured bacterium. RNAcentral describes it as "bacterial SSU rRNA". It matches the Rfam family "Bacterial small subunit ribosomal RNA", at positions 355 to 774 of the family's 1533-position model. The record is from RNAcentral. RNAcentral also lists the same sequence under 1 other name.
UGGGGAAUCUUGGACAAUGGGGGCAACCCUGAUCCAGCGACGCCGCGUGGGUGAUGAAGGCCUUCGGGUUGUAAAGCCCUUUUGUCGGGGACGAUGAUGACGGUACCCGGCGAAUAAGCACCGGCUAACUCCGUGCCAGCAGCCGCGGUAAUACGGAGGGUGCUAGCGUUGUUCGGAAUUACUGGGCGUAAAGGGCGCGUAGGCGGCCGUUUGCGUCGGAUGUGAAAGCCCGGGGCUCAACCUCGGAACGGCAUUCGAUACGGGACGGCUGGAGACCGGGAGAGGAGAGUGGAAUAGCCAGUGUAGAGGUGAAAUUCGUAGAUAUUGGCUGGAACACCGGUGGCGAAAGCGGCUCUCUGGCCCGGUUCUGACGCUGAGGCGCGAAAGCGUGGGGAGCAAACA